Long non-coding RNA from Cyprinus carpio (common carp), 1012 nucleotides. The record is from Ensembl. NCBI's taxonomy places the organism in Eukaryota, Metazoa, Chordata, Actinopteri, Cypriniformes, Cyprinidae.
UUCUCAAAGCAAUCUAACAGUCACAUAUUUGCAUUGUGUUGUACACGAUUUAAAACACGAUCAGUUAAUCAAUAACGCACUUUGACUAAACUUGCGCAUUACGCGCUGGUCACUCACCCACAUCCACAGAAAGUAAGACGCACAGAAGAGCUUGAUAAAUCCACAUUAUGUCCGAUUUCACGAUUCUCGGUCUCAUAUUCCAGGAUUUGGGAUGGAGAGUUUAUAAGGUCCGAGCUGGUGCUGCUGCUGCUGGUGUGGGCCCAAGCCACAUUUUGGCCAUGCAACAGCGGUGGAGCCCAGGUGUCAGUCAGAGGGAGAGAGCAGUGUCUUGCGGGGCUGUUGGGGAGAAUGUGGCCAGAUCAAAUGCCUUGACUUAAAUACAUCAGGCUGGGCUUCGACCACCACCCAAUCCCCAUGGGCAGCUCGGCCUGGUGAAGCCUAUUACAAAGCUGCACAACUGGAAUGAAUUCCACUCUUUUCCACUGCAGGUUUUACUGUGACAAGAACUAGUUUUACAAUAAGAUGAAACGGUCUUUAUUGAGCAAAUGAUAAUGAUACAGUCCCAUUUGUCAGAACAUCUGUCCAUGUCAUGUAUCACACCCCAGAGUGACAACUGUUUUGUGGGAUGGGUCUGCUCAGGACAAGCAUUUCCCCACAUGAUACAGUGACAAGCAUCAGGACAUUUUGUCUAUUUACGGAGCUUGGUGUUGAGUAGACUUGUCCACAGAGAAAUCUCAUUUGUCCAAAAUGACUGCUUCACGUAACUUGUGUUAAUAAUUUGCAAUGCAAGAAAAGUAGCUACAGAUAAUUUCUUUCAUAUUGUGGCAUAUACUGUAUACCUAAAUAAGAUAAAUUAUGAAAAAAAAAAAAAAGUAAUGUGGGUCUUGAUUCUAUCCAUUGGUUGUUGAUUGGAUUGAGGCAGAUCUGAAUGCAAAUGUAGUUGAUUGUAAGAAAUGGGAAGGAUUUAAAGGGAUAGUCGACUCAAAAAAUAAAAUUUCUAUCAUACUCGUCA